RNAcentral lists this ribosomal RNA (256 nucleotides) under Salmonella enterica subsp. enterica serovar Infantis. Its description in RNAcentral is "partial 23S ribosomal RNA". It matches the Rfam family "Bacterial large subunit ribosomal RNA", at positions 560 to 816 of the family's 2925-position model. The record is from RNAcentral. Lineage: Bacteria; Pseudomonadati; Pseudomonadota; Gammaproteobacteria; Enterobacterales; Enterobacteriaceae. RNAcentral also lists the same sequence under 6 other names.
GUACGUACAAGCAGUGGGAGCACAGGUUUACCUGUGUGACUGCGUACCUUUUGUAUAAUGGGUCAGCGACUUAUAUUCUGUAGCAAGGUUAACCGAAUAGGGGAGCCGGAGGGAAACCGAGUCUUAACCGGGCGUUAAGUUGCAGGGUAUAGACCCGAAACCCGGUGAUCUAGCCAUGGGCAGGUUGAAGGUUGGGUAACACUAACUGGAGGACCGAACCGACUAAUGUUGAAAAAUUAGCGGAUGACCUGUGGCU